This 243-nucleotide ribosomal RNA is filed under the name uncultured Rhodocyclales bacterium. RNAcentral's name for it is "partial 16S ribosomal RNA". It matches the Rfam family "Bacterial small subunit ribosomal RNA", at positions 92 to 334 of the family's 1533-position model. The record is from RNAcentral. Lineage: Bacteria; Pseudomonadati; Pseudomonadota; Betaproteobacteria; Rhodocyclales.
CGAGUGGCGAACGGGUGAGUAAUACAUCGGAACGUGUCGAGAAGAGGGGGAUAACCACCCGAAAGGGUGGCUAAUACCGCAUAAAUUCUGAGGAAGAAAGCUGGGGACCUAGGAAUAGGCCUAGCGCUUUUUGAGCGGCCGAUGUCGGAUUAGCUAGUUGGUGAGGUAAAGGCUCACCAAGGCGAAGAUCUGUAGCGGGUCUGAGAGGAUGAUCCGCCACACUGGGACUGAGACACGGCCCAG